Molecule: ribosomal RNA, 253 nt
Filed under: uncultured bacterium
Lineage: Bacteria
Description: partial 16S ribosomal RNA
Rfam family: Bacterial small subunit ribosomal RNA
Source: RNAcentral
UACGAAGGGGGCUAGCGUUGCUCGGAAUCACUGGGCGUAAAGGGUGCGUAGGCGGGUCUUUAAGUCAGGGGUGAAAUCCUGGAGCUCAACUCCAGAACUGCCUUUGAUACUGGGAGCCUUGAGUUCGGGAGAGGUGAGUGGAACUGCGAGUGUAGAGGUGAAAUUCGUAGAUAUUCGCAAGAACACCAGUGGCGAAGGCGGCUCACUGGCCCGAUACUGACGCUGAGGUGCGAAAGCGUGGGGAGCAAACAGG